RNAcentral lists this ribosomal RNA (120 nucleotides) under uncultured bacterium. RNAcentral describes it as "partial 16S ribosomal RNA". It matches the Rfam family "Bacterial small subunit ribosomal RNA", at positions 28 to 156 of the family's 1533-position model. The record is from RNAcentral.
GACGAACGCUGGCGGCGUGCUUAACACAUGCAAGUCGCGGGGGGUGAGCAAUCACUCACCGGCGAACGGGUGCGUAACACGUGAGCGACCUGCCCACUUGUGGGGUAUAGCCGGCCCAAC